RNAcentral lists this ribosomal RNA (1251 nucleotides) under metagenome. RNAcentral describes it as "bacterial SSU rRNA". It matches the Rfam family "Bacterial small subunit ribosomal RNA", at positions 131 to 1388 of the family's 1533-position model. The record is from RNAcentral.
UUGAAGUGGGGAUAGUCCAUGGAAACAUGGAGUAAUACCGCAUAUGUCUUCGGAUGAAAGUUCCAAUGGAACGCUUUGGGAUGAGUCUGCGGCUCAUUAGCUUGUUGGUGGGGUAAAGGCCUACCAAGGCAACGAUGAGUAGCCGGCCUGAGAGGGUGAACGGCCACACUGGGACUGAGACACGGCCCAGACUCCUACGGGAGGCAGCAGCUAAGAAUCUUCCGCAAUGGACGCAAGUCUGACGGAGCGACGCCGCGUGAACGAUGAAGGCGGAAACGUUGUAAAGUUCUUUUCCUGAUGAAGAAUAAUGAGAGGAGUGGAAAGCCUUUCAGAUGACAUUAUUCAGGGAAUAAGCCCCGGCUAAUUACGUGCCAGCAGCCGCGGUAAUACGUAUGGGGCAAGCGUUGUUCGGAUUUAUUGGGCGUAAAGGGCGCGCAGGCGGUUUAACAAGCUUGAUGUGAAAUAUCCCGGCUUAACUGGGGACACGCGUUGGGAACUGUUAGACUAGAGUUUAGAAGGGGAAACUGGAAUUCCUAGUGUAGGGGUGAAAUCUGUAGAGAUUAGGAAGAACACCAAUGGCGAAGGCAAGUUUCUGGUCAUAGACUGACGCUGAGGCGCGAAAGCGUGGGGAGCGAACAGGAUUAGAUACCCUGGUAGUCCACGCUGUAAACGAUGUGCACUAGGUGUAGGAUAUUGAAUAUAUUCUGUGCCGUAGCUAACGCGUUAAGUGCACCGCCUGGGGAGUAUGCUCGCAAGGGUGAAACUCAAAGGAAUUGACGGGGGCCCGCACAAGCGGUGGAGCAUGUGGUUUAAUUCGAUAUACGCGAGAAACCUUACCAGGGCUCGACAUUUACAUGACGGUUUAAGAGAUUAGGCCUUCCUUUCGGGGACAUGUAAACAGGUGCUGCAUGGUUGUCGUCAGCUCGUGUCGUGAGAUGUUGGGUUAAGUCCCGCAACGAGCGCAACCCUUAUUGUCUGUUGCCAGCAUUUCGGAUGGGGACUCAGACAAAACUGCCGGUGACAAACCGGAGGAAGGUGGGGAUGACGUCAAAUCAUCAUGGCCCUUAUGUCCUGGGCUACACACGUGCUACAAUGGCAAGUACAAAGCGUUGCGAAAAGGUGACUUCAAGCUAAUCGCAAAAAACUUGCCUCAGUUCGGAUUGGAGUCUGAAACUCGACUCCAUGAAGUUGGAAUCGCUAGUAAUCGCGCAUCAGCAUGGCGCGGUGAAUAUGUUCCCGGGCCUUGUACAC